Molecule: ribosomal RNA, 512 nt
Filed under: uncultured bacterium
Lineage: Bacteria
Description: bacterial SSU rRNA
Rfam family: Bacterial small subunit ribosomal RNA
Source: RNAcentral
GACGAACGCUAGCGGGAGGCUUAACACAUGCAAGUCGAGGGGCAGCAUAGGGUAGCAAUACUCUGAUGGCGACCGGCAAACGGGUGAGUAACGCGUAUGUAACCUACCCUGUACAGGGGGAUAACCCGGAGAAAUUCGGACUAAUAUCCCAUAACAAUAUCCGGGGGCAUCUUUGGAUAUUUAAAGUUCCGGCGGUACGGGAUGGGCAUGCGUAACAUUAGCUAGUUGGUAAGGUAACGGCUUACCAAGGCUUUGAUGUUUAGGGGUCCUGAGAGGGUGGUCCCCCACACUGGUACUGAGACACGGACCAGACUCCUACGGGAGGCAGCAGUGAGGAAUAUUGGUCAAUGGGCGCAAGCCUGAACCAGCCAUCCCGCGUGCAGGAAGACGGCGCUAUGCGUUGUAAACUGCUUUUCCAGGGAGAGAAACUUGCGCACGUGUUGCGCAAUUGACGGUACCCUGGGAAUAAGCAUCGGCUAACUCCGUGCCAGCAGCCGCGGUAAUCGUAGUCU